Molecule: ribosomal RNA, 497 nt
Filed under: uncultured bacterium
Lineage: Bacteria
Description: partial 16S ribosomal RNA
Rfam family: Bacterial small subunit ribosomal RNA
Source: RNAcentral
GACGGACGCUGGCGGCGUGCCUAAUACAUGCAAGUAGAACGCUGAAGAGAGGAGCUUGCUCUUCUUGGAUGAGUUGCGAACGGGUGAGUAACGCGUAGGUAACCUGCCUUGUAGCGGGGGAUAACUAUUGGAAACGAUAGCUAAUACCGCAUAACAAUGGAUGACACAUGUCAUUUAUUUGAAAGGGGCAAUUGUUCCACUACAAGAUGGACCUGCGUUGUAUUAGCUAGUAGGUGAGGUAAUGGCUCACCUAGGCGACGAUACAUAGCCGACCUGAGAGGGUGAUCGGCCACACUGGGACUGAGACACGGCCCAGACUCCUACGGGAGGCAGCAGUAGGGAAUCUUCGGCAAUGGGGGCAACCCUGACCGAGCAACGCCGCGUGAGUGAAGAAGGUUUUCGGAUCGUAAAGCUCUGUUGUAAGUCAAGAACGGGUGUGAGAGUGGAAAGUUCACACUGUGAUGGUAGCUUACCAGAAAGGGACGGCUAACUACGUG